RNAcentral lists this ribosomal RNA (499 nucleotides) under uncultured bacterium. Its description in RNAcentral is "partial 16S ribosomal RNA". It matches the Rfam family "Bacterial small subunit ribosomal RNA", at positions 28 to 507 of the family's 1533-position model. The record is from RNAcentral.
GACGAACGCUGGCGGCGUGCCUAAUACAUGCAAGUCGAGCGAAGUUUUUCUGGUGCUUGCACUAGAAAAACUUAGCGGCGAACGGGUGAGUAACACGUAAAGAACCUGCCUCAUAGACUGGGACAACUAUUGGAAACGAUAGCUAAUACCGGAUAACAGUAUUUCUCGCAUGGGAGAUAUUUAAAAGUUGGUUAUGCUAACACUAUGAGAUGGCUUUGCGGUGCAUUAGCUAGUUGGUGGGGUAAAGGCCCACCAAGGCGACGAUGCAUAGCCGACCUGAGAGGGUGAUCGGCCACACUGGGACUGGGACACGGCCCAGACUCCUACGGGAGGCAGCAGUAGGGAAUCUUCCGCAAUGGGCGAAAGCCUGACGGAGCAACGCCGCGUGAGUGAAGAAGGAUUUCGGUUCGUAAAGCUCUGUUGUUAGGGAAGAAUGGAUAUGUAGUAACUAUACAUGUAAGAGACGGUACCUAACCAGAAAGCCACGGCUAACUACGUG